GAUGAACGCUGGCGGCGUGCUUAACACAUGCAAGUCGAACGAAGCACCUUAUUCUGAUUUCUUCGGAAUGAAAAAUUUGGUGACUGAGUGGCGGACGGGUGAGUAACGCGUGGGUAACCUGCCUCAUACAGGGGGAUAACAGUUAGAAAUGACUGCUAAUACCGCAUAAGACCACAGCACCGCAUGGUGCAGGGGUAAAAACUCCGGUGGUAUGAGAUGGACCCGCGUCUGAUUAGGUAGUUGGUGGGGUAACGGCCAACCAAGCCGACGAUCAGUGGCCAACCUGAGAGAGUGACCGGCAACAUUGGUACUGAGACACGGCCCAAACUCCUACGGGAGGCAGCAGUGGGGAAUAUUGCACAAUGGGGGAAACCUUGAUGCAGCGACGCCGCGUGAGCGAUGAAGUAUUUCGGUAUGUAAAGCUCUAUCAGCAGGGAAGAAAAUGACGGUACCUGACUAAGAAGCACCGGCUAAAUACGUGCCAGCAGCCGCCGUAA
This 497-nucleotide ribosomal RNA is filed under the name uncultured bacterium. RNAcentral describes it as "partial 16S ribosomal RNA". It matches the Rfam family "Bacterial small subunit ribosomal RNA", at positions 28 to 523 of the family's 1533-position model. The record is from RNAcentral.